RNAcentral lists this ribosomal RNA (497 nucleotides) under uncultured bacterium. RNAcentral describes it as "partial 16S ribosomal RNA". It matches the Rfam family "Bacterial small subunit ribosomal RNA", at positions 28 to 507 of the family's 1533-position model. The record is from RNAcentral.
GAUGAACGCUGGCGGCGUGCCUAAUACAUGCAAGUCGAGCGAACAGACGAGGAGCUUGCUCCUCUGACGUUAGCGGCGGACGGGUGAGUAACACGUGGAUAACCUACCUAUAAGACUGGGAUAACUUCGGGAAACCGGAGCUAAUACCGGAUAAUAUAUUGAACCGCAUGGUUCAAUAGUGAAAGACGGUUUUGCUGUCACUUAUAGAUGGAUCCGCGCCGCAUUAGCUAGUUGGUAAGGUAACGACUUACCAAGGCAACGAUGCGUAGCCGACCUGAGAGGGUGAUCGGCCACACUGGAACUGAGACACGGUCCAGACUCCUACGGGAGGCAGCAGUAGGGAAUCUUCCGCAAUGGGCGAAAGCCUGACGGAGCAACGCCGCGUGAGUGAUGAAGGUCUUCGGCUCGUAAAACUCUGUUAUUAGGGAAGAACAAAUGUGUAAGUAACUAUGCACGUCUUGACGGUACCUAAUCAGAAAGCCACGGCUAACUACGUG